UGCCCCAGUAACGGCGAGUGAAGCGGCAACAGCUCAAAUUUGAAAUCUGGCCCCAGGCCCGAGUUGUAAUUUGCAGAGGAUGCUUUUGGUGACGCGCUUACCGAGUCCCCUGGAACGGGGCGCCACAGAGGGUGAGAGCCCCGUAUGGUUUGACGCCGAGCCUCUGUAAAGCUCCUUCGACGAGUCGAGUAGUUUGGGAAUGCUGCUCUAAAUGGGAGGUAAAUUUCUUCUAAAGCUAAAUACCGGCCAGAGACCGAUAGCGCACAAGUAGAGUGAUCGAAAGAUGAAAAGCACUUUGAAAAGAGGGUUAAACAGCACGUGAAAUUGUUGAAAGGGAAGCGCUCGUGACCAGACUUGCGCCGGGCGGAUCAUCCAGCGUUCUCGCUGGUGCACUCCGCCCGGCUCAGGCCAGCAUCGGUUUUCGCCGGGGGACAAAAGCACCGGGAAUGUGGCUCCCCUCGGGGAGUGUUAUAGCCCGGAGUGUAAUACCCCGGCGGGGACCGAGGACCGCGCUUCGGCAAGGAUGCUGGCGUAAUGGUCAUCAGCGACCCGUCUUGAAACACGGACCGAGGAGUCAAGCAUUAGUGCGAGUGUUUGGGUGUAAAACCCGCACGCGUAAUGAAAGUGAACGUAGGUGAGAGCUUCGGCGCAUCAUCGACCGAUCCUGAUGUUUUCGGAUGGAUUUGAGUAGGAGCAUUAACGCUUGGACCCGA
RNAcentral lists this ribosomal RNA (713 nucleotides) under Magnaporthiopsis sp. RNAcentral describes it as "partial large subunit ribosomal RNA". It matches the Rfam family "Eukaryotic large subunit ribosomal RNA", at positions 76 to 819 of the family's 3401-position model. Lineage: Eukaryota; Fungi; Ascomycota; Sordariomycetes; Magnaporthales; Magnaporthaceae. The record is from RNAcentral.